CUAUACAUGACUCUGCGCAUAUCAAUAAGCGGAGGAAAAGAAACUAACAAGGAUUCCCUUAGUAACGGCGAGUGAAGCGGGAAGAGCUCAAAUUUGAAAUCUUCAAGGUUCUACCUUGACGAAUUGUAGUUUAUAGAAGUGUUUUCUGUUAGUGGAGUGGCAAAAGUUCUUUGGAAUAGGACAUCAUAGAGGGUGAGAAUCCCGUAUUUGGUCAUUCCUCCUAGCGUUGUGAUACACUUUCAACGAGUCGGAUUGUUUGGGAAUGCAGUCCAAAAUGGGUGGUAAAUUUCAUCUAAAGCUAAAUAUUGGCGAGAGACCGAUAGCGAACAAGUACCGUGAGGGAAAGAUGAAAAGAACUUUGAAAAGAGAGUUAAACAGUACGUGAAAUUGUCAAAAGGGAAGCGUUUGACACCAGUGUUGUUUUUUCCGAAAAUCAAUUACGAAUGUUUUGUUUUUAAGAAGUUAUGACUUCAUCGGCUUGCUUCUUUCUUUAUCGAAACUUUCUUAAUGCACUUUUCGGUUAACAAGUCAACAUCAAUUUCUUUUGUUGUAAAAGGGUAUGAGGAAGGUGGCUUUCUUUUCGGAGAAAGUGUUUAUAGCCUUGUACCUCUGCAAUCGGAGAGAUUGAGGUCUGCAGCGUAGAUCCUUCGGGGUUAGAUACAUUUGUGCUAAGUUAUAGCUUUUCAUAGACAACUUGUUGACUAUGUUUAGUCUUGUAGCUUACUCGCUUAUGCUAUUUUACCUACGCUUAGGAUGUUGAUAGUCACAGCGUGUAC
This 776-nucleotide ribosomal RNA is filed under the name uncultured Neocallimastigales. RNAcentral describes it as "partial large subunit ribosomal RNA". It matches the Rfam family "Eukaryotic large subunit ribosomal RNA", at positions 22 to 644 of the family's 3401-position model. Lineage: Eukaryota; Fungi; Neocallimastigomycota; Neocallimastigomycetes; Neocallimastigales. The record is from RNAcentral.